GAUGAAGAACGUAGCGAAAUGCGAUAAGUAAUGUGAAUUGCAGAAUUCAGUGAAUCAUCGAGUCUUUGAACGCACAUUGCGCCCCCUGGUAUUCCGGGGGGCAUGCCUGUCCGAGCGUCAUUGCUGCCCUCAAGCACGGCUUGUGUGUUGGGCCCCCGCCCCCCGGUCCCGGGGGGCGGGCCCGAAAGGCAGCGGCGGCACCGCGUCCGGUCCUCGAGCGUAUGGGGCUUUGUCACCCGCUCUGUAGGCCCGGCCGGCGCCCGCCGGCGACCCCAAUCAAUCUUUUUCGGGUUGACCUCGGAUCAGGUAGGGAUACCCGCUGAACUUAAGCAUAUCAAUAGCGGAGGA
RNAcentral lists this unclassified non-coding RNA (348 nucleotides) under soil metagenome. RNAcentral describes it as "partial contains 5.8S ribosomal RNA, internal transcribed spacer 2, and large subunit ribosomal RNA". The stretch from base 1 to 120 matches the Rfam family "5.8S ribosomal RNA", at positions 35 to 154 of the family's 154-position model. The record is from RNAcentral.